AUGACGCAUGGUGGUGGGCGGCGGUCUAGCUGGUCGGCUCCGGUCCGUUGGGCGGCGGGGAUUGGAGUACGGGAGAAAUCCCUAGCGGUCUUCGGCCCCGAUGCGGUGACACCUGCGGGUGCCACCAUUCCUUCCUGGAGGGUGUCGGUGAUAUCCAUCCCCCACCUCCCUCCGCGUGCCGGGGAAACCCUAGGACAUGUCCGGGCAGCAGUGUCGUCGGCGUCGCUUUCCUUCUUGGAGGUGCUGUUUUGUACGCGGUGGUCCGGAGCCUCGGGUUGUAGUGGUUUGUCUUUGGUGUGCGUAGCGGUGGCGGGUCAUCCGUGCUCUGUCGAGCUGCCAUUGUUGGCAUUUGCUUCCUUUUCUUUUUCUUUUGGGCUUGUUGUGCUGUUCGCCCCAGCGAUCAUGUAUCGGUGUUGGUUGCUUUGGAAUACAAAGCGGGGGGAAACCCUUUUUCGGCAUGUUCCUGUACGUGAGCGGGAUUCGUGUUCAUGUUGGUGCGGAUGUCAUAGGUGUACUGGUAGAUGA
RNAcentral lists this ribosomal RNA (525 nucleotides) under Triticum aestivum (bread wheat). Its description in RNAcentral is "partial small subunit ribosomal RNA". The record is from RNAcentral. Lineage: Eukaryota; Viridiplantae; Streptophyta; Magnoliopsida; Poales; Poaceae.